Long non-coding RNA from Sapajus apella (tufted capuchin), 1420 nucleotides. RefSeq lists it as uncharacterized. The record is from RefSeq and is a predicted model, not a curated record. The transcript is spliced from 3 exons. Lineage: Eukaryota; Metazoa; Chordata; Mammalia; Primates; Cebidae.
CACGCCAGAGCCUCCUGGGACCAGUCCAGCUCCCUCUGAGCCCCAGGGGUGUGGGGGGGCUUCCCUCCUCAGCAGCCGAGCCGCGCAGUGGCCCUGGAGGCCUGCAUGCUCCUGCUCCCUGGUGUCUAUGCCGCUUCUGCAGCCGGCCCUUCCCUGCCUUUCAAAUUCUAAAUAACACAAGGCAGGGCCUCUCCCUGAAAAUGAGCAGGAGUGAGCCCAUGGAGCCGCUACCUGAGGCCCCUGGGCCCCAUCAGAAUGGCUGAGCCGCCCAGGGAGGGGCUCCCGGGGAGUCUGCUGCCCUCACUUUAACUGGACCAAGCGUUCUGGAAACCCCCCCAAACCUGGGAGGACACGCUCUUGCUGGUACAGGGCUGGGCCACCCAGUCCUCCCCCAUGCCAGCCAACAACCCUGUGCACAGUGCUGCAAGCACUUCUGCAAAACCGAAGGAAGUGGCAGCUGAGCAGAAAACGCACACUCCCCUCCCGGCCCAGUGACCGACCGACCGGCAAUGUCUCAGGACGAGGCCCCUCUGGGCUCCGGGCCAUAUGCUGAGAGCAGAGACUGGCUCGGGGUGGGAGCCGGAGCCACCUGCCUAUCAAGCCCGUCCCAUGUGGCCCACACAGCCCGGGCUGCCGGUGUCCACAUCUUGGCACAUGCCUAACCUUUGGGCAUGACAGCCUGGAGAGGAUGCCUGGAAAGAGUCAGUGGGCCCAGCAGGAGAACAAGCCAGGGCGGGGCAGCCCUGGCACCGGCCUCCCACCAGGACGUGGGCCCAGCAGCAAGGCCCUGCACCAGGUCCCGCUCCUCACCACACACGCCAGCCAGGCUUGGGCGCCAGGGGAGCCCUGCACCAGCCUUUGCUCCUCAGACCACCUCUAGGCUUUUUCACCAGCCUCCUCAAGGACCUUCCUGGACCGGGGUCCCGGGUCCUGCCAGCACCUGCUCACCACUCUUGUGCCGCACCCGCCACUCCUGCUGCCUCUCGGAGCCUCUGCCUCUUUUCGAGCAGCACAGGCCCCAGAGAGAAGCCCGGCCCCUCAAUGCCCCCACCAGUCAUGGAAGCAAAUGUUUAAGGAGAGACUCCAGGGACAAAGUCCUGCCCCCGACUCACCACCGUCUGGACCAGUAGCCAAGGCAAGCCUUUUCCAGAAGCAAGUCUUGUGGAGGGUGGCGGCCACAAAGGUAUAAUGGAAGCCAUUGUCCCGGCCCCCCAAAUCCUCCGGCCCCACCACACCUGUGGUCACUGGGGGUCCUCAGUUCUCUCUUGGGAAGGACACCAGAUUGAGAACCCUCAACAAAGCCUCCAUCUUUACCAACAAAUCACCUUUGCCUUCAGGUCCCCUGCUGCCCAUCCCCUGGCUCCCAGCCCCCAGCCCCAUCCCAGGGCCCCACAGGCUCCCUCCCCAGCACGCAGAGCCC